UCGGAAUUACUGGGCGUAAAGCGCGCGUAGGCGGUUAUUUAAGUGAGGUGUGAAAUCCCUGGGCUCAACCUAGGAACUGCAUUUCAAACUGGAUAACUUGAGUAUGUCAGAGGGUAUUGGAAUUUCCCCGUGUAGCAGUGAAAUGCGUAGAUAUGGGAAGGAACAUCAGUGGCGAAGGCGAAUACCUGGGAUAAUACUGACGCUGAGGUGCGAAAGCGUGGGGAGCAAACGGGAUUAGAUACCCUGGUAG
RNAcentral lists this ribosomal RNA (250 nucleotides) under uncultured bacterium. RNAcentral describes it as "partial 16S ribosomal RNA". It matches the Rfam family "Bacterial small subunit ribosomal RNA", at positions 545 to 793 of the family's 1533-position model. The record is from RNAcentral.